GACGAACGCUGGCGGCGUGCUUAACACAUGCAAGUCGAACGAUGAAGCGGGUGCUUGCCCUCGUGGAUUAGUGGCGAACGGGCGAGUAACACGUGAGUAACCUGUCCUUUUCUUUGGGAUAACGGCUGGAAACGGCUGCUAAUACUGGAUAUUCAGGCUGCAUCGCACGGUGUGGUUUGGAAAGGUUUUUUCUGGGAUUGGGUGGGCUCGCGGCCCAUCAGCUUGUUGGUGGGGUGAUGGCUUACCAAGGCUUUGACGGGUAGCCGGCCUGAGAGGGUGGUCGGUCGCACUGGGACUGAGAUACGGCCCAGACUCCUACGGGAGGCAGCAGUGGGGAAUAUUGCACAAUGGACGAAAGUUUGAUGCAGCGACGCCGCGUGGAGGGUGUAGGCCUUCGGGUUGUGAACUCCUUUGUCUCGCGAAAAAGGCACAGUUUUGGCUGUGUUGAUGGUAGUGGGGGAAGAAGCGCCGGCUAACUACGUG
Molecule: ribosomal RNA, 483 nt
Filed under: uncultured bacterium
Lineage: Bacteria
Description: partial 16S ribosomal RNA
Rfam family: Bacterial small subunit ribosomal RNA
Source: RNAcentral